Long non-coding RNA from Oreochromis niloticus (Nile tilapia), 153 nucleotides. RefSeq lists it as uncharacterized. The transcript is spliced from 2 exons. Lineage: Eukaryota; Metazoa; Chordata; Actinopteri; Cichliformes; Cichlidae. The record is from RefSeq and is a predicted model, not a curated record.
UGCGGGGAGUGGACGAGAGCACGAGCACUUUAGAGUACACACCGCUGUGCACAGCGCACGCACACACAAAGUCAGCUGAUCUCAUCGGAUGCAGAUCUGCUCCUUGAUCAAGUGACAUUUGUCCAGCUUUUUGCCACGAGUGGCGUACGAUCA